RNAcentral lists this ribosomal RNA (141 nucleotides) under Pseudoduganella aquatica. RNAcentral describes it as "partial 23S ribosomal RNA". The stretch from base 1 to 122 matches the Rfam family "Bacterial large subunit ribosomal RNA", at positions 2808 to 2925 of the family's 2925-position model. Lineage: Bacteria; Pseudomonadati; Pseudomonadota; Betaproteobacteria; Burkholderiales; Oxalobacteraceae. The record is from RNAcentral.
GAUUUCCCGGAGCUUUAAGCUCCUUGAAGGGUCGUUCGAGACCAGGACGUUGAUAGGCUGGGUGUGGAAGUGCAGUAAUGCAUUAAGCUAACCAGUACUAAUUGCCCGUAAGGCUUGUCCCUAUAACCUUGACGGUUAUAU